Molecule: long non-coding RNA, 350 nt
Organism: Paramormyrops kingsleyae
Lineage: Eukaryota; Metazoa; Chordata; Actinopteri; Osteoglossiformes; Mormyridae
Source: RefSeq, a predicted model, not a curated record
AUACAUUGAGCUUCUUCAGCACAGCAGGAAAACUUCGCAGCGACCAAAACAUUUUAUUUACGAAGACCAGAAACCGCAUCAAAAAUAAGAGAAUUUCCUGGAGAAACAGAGUAGCGGAUUCUGCAUUAGAGCUACAGCCUCUUGCCUGUCACUUUCAGUACGAUGUUGGGGCCAGUCCUUCAGAACAAAGAUAAAAGAAGAUCAUCUCAACAUAUAUGGGAUGAUGUUGAGAGGAAUGAAUCAAAGGCACCCAAGAGCUUAAACAGUAAUGGGAUGAAGAUGAACUGAACUUCAAUGUAAUGUCACACCUGUAUAAAUGGCCUUCAAAAAAUAAACACCUUCUCAAGGAA